UACGGAGGAUCCAAGCGUUAUCCGGAUUUAUUGGGUUUAAAGGGUGCGUAGGCGGUUAUUUAAGUCAGUGGUGAAAGUUUGCAGCUCAACUGUAAAAUUGCCAUUGAAACUGGAUGACUUGAGUACGGUAGAGGUAAGCGGAAUGCGUUGUGUAGCGGUGAAAUGCAUAGAUAUAACGCAGAACCCCAAUUGCGAAGGCAGCUUACUGGACCGUUUACUGACGCUGAGGCACGAAAGCGUGGGGA
RNAcentral lists this ribosomal RNA (245 nucleotides) under uncultured bacterium. RNAcentral's name for it is "partial 16S ribosomal RNA". It matches the Rfam family "Bacterial small subunit ribosomal RNA", at positions 524 to 767 of the family's 1533-position model. The record is from RNAcentral.